GUGGGGAAUAUUGCACAAUGGAGGGAACUCUGAUGCAGCGACGCCGCGUGAGCGAUGAAGGGAUUCGUUUCGUAAAGCUCUGUUCUAUGGGAAGAAAAGGACUGUACCAUAGAAGAAAGCUCCGGCUAAAUACGUGCCAGCAGCCGCGGUAAUACGUAUGGAGCGAGCGUUGUCCGGAAUUAUUGGGCGUAAAGGGUGCGCAGGCGGCUUAACAAGUUGGAUGUGAAAUGUUGUGGCUCAACCACAAACGUGCAUCCAAAACUGUAAAGCUUGAGUUAAGGAGAGGUAAGUGGAAUUCCUGGUGUAGCGGUGGAAUGCGUAGAUAUCAGGAGGAAUACCGGUGGCGAAGGCGACUUACUGGACUUAAACUGACGCUCAGGCACGAAAGCGUGGGGAGCAAACAGGAUUAGAAACCCUAGUAGUCC
This 425-nucleotide ribosomal RNA is filed under the name uncultured bacterium. RNAcentral describes it as "bacterial SSU rRNA". It matches the Rfam family "Bacterial small subunit ribosomal RNA", at positions 354 to 796 of the family's 1533-position model. The record is from RNAcentral.